GACAGCUUGGAACAGUGAAGGUUGUGUCUUAAACACCAGUGCCUCAUCUUCAUCUACCUCUGUGUGCGAAUGCAACCAUUUGACCAAUUUUGCAAUUCUUAUGAGUCCGUUGACACAGACAAAUGUUGAGAGCAAAGCUAUUGAUAUAAUAUCAACAGUUGGAUGCAGUAUCUCCAUGUUGGCGCUGGUCAUUACAGUUCUGGUUCAUGUUGCUUUAUGGGAGUAAGU
This is a long non-coding RNA of Mercenaria mercenaria, 228 nucleotides long. RefSeq lists it as uncharacterized. The record is from RefSeq and is a predicted model, not a curated record. The transcript is spliced from 2 exons. Lineage: Eukaryota; Metazoa; Mollusca; Bivalvia; Venerida; Veneridae.